Molecule: ribosomal RNA, 252 nt
Filed under: uncultured bacterium
Lineage: Bacteria
Description: partial 16S ribosomal RNA
Rfam family: Bacterial small subunit ribosomal RNA
Source: RNAcentral
UACGUAGGUGGCGAGCGUCGUCCGGAAUUAUUGGGCGUAAAGCGCGCGUAGGUGGGAUAUUAAGUCUAUUCUAAAAGUGCGGGGCUCAACCCCGUAAAGGGAUGGAAACUAAUAUUCUUGAGUACCGGAGAGGAAAGCGGAAUUCCCAGUGUAGCGGUGAAAUGCGUAGAUAUUGGGAGGAACACCAGUGGCGAAGGCGGCUUACUGGACUGUAACUGACACUGAGGCUCGAAAGCGUGGGGAGCAAACAGG